Molecule: long non-coding RNA, 1348 nt
Filed under: Suricata suricatta (meerkat)
Lineage: Eukaryota; Metazoa; Chordata; Mammalia; Carnivora; Herpestidae
Description: lncRNA (ENSSSUG00005009144.1)
Source: RNAcentral
ACCAGCCCAGCAGGGUGGGGCGGGCAGCUUUGCAGGUUGCAGGAUGUGAAAGUGGGGACUGAGGUUAGGAAAAAGAAUCAAAGGCUGGGACCAGAACACACCCAGCAGAGGGCCAUGUGCAGUUCUCCUCUUUAGGGUUUCCUGUGGGUACACUGAGAACAUUGUGUUCUGGCUGUGAAUUCACCCGGCUGAGCAGGCUCCAGACUCAGCUCCUGGGUCCUAGCGCUGCCUCUCGCCCACGCUCGGCUUCAGCUGCCUGAGGGCCACCGCAGGGCCCCUGGGAGGCCAUCUCCACCGUGUCCUCCCUCCUGGGUGAGCACUUCCAUUCUGAUUCAUUCUUCGCCCCACAGCCUCUCGUGUCCCUCAUGACAACACAUCUUCAAAGGACAAAACUGAGGCUCCCCAGGAAACUGGCUGGAACAACUGUGGUCAAUAUUCAAGGCUUUUGGAUCCAGGGACACUUUGGGGAUAUUUGAUUCGGAGACAUCAUCACUUCAAACCCUUGAACUGAAUGCAGCCACCAGACUGAAUGGGGAAAACGAGCGCUAGAUCUUGCUUCGUUCGAGCGCUCCAUCAUCCCGGAGGAGGCGUAAGAGGACCGCGUGGAGUGGAGAGGCAGUGAGAGGAAGAUAAAGGGCUCAGGGCUGGCCAGCUCUGGAGUUGGUGCUUCAGGAUCAGGAUCCUGUUCUCUGGGGAAAGAACUUGGUGAAACUUCUGCAGGCCUAUUGAUGUCCUUCUUUCCAGGAUCAGAGACUCUUAAAACUUCCCAGGAGAGUGAGGCAACACGCCUCAUUGUGCAGCACUCAGCAAAUGCAGCAGCUGCACCAAGUGCUAAAGAAAAGCUCCCAUAAUAACCAUGUGUGAUAAUAAAAAGAUAAAGAGGCAAAUAGGUAUGUAGGUCAGCUCAAAAAUAGCCACCCACCCGUUUGGCCUGGGUAGCCAUUUGUGCCAGGUGGGUACAAAUGGUUUUCUUUCUUCUCCUCCCCAGCUGAUCAUUCACUGCUCUUUUCAAGGUUGCCGUCAAUAAAAGUCCCUUCCAGUGCGAGCUGGAGGUGGCCUGGGCGGCUCUGGCCUGCGGCCUUACAGGGGCAGGCACUGCUCCCAGCACUCCCUCCACCAAACAAAUCCUGGGGUCAGAGGGCACAAGGGCUUGGCCUCUCUGACGCGGGUUCUUGGGGCUAAGUCAGGGUCUGGGGUGAUGACUCACAGACACUCCCCCCUCCCGCCCCCUUAGGGUUUUUCGUGCACCCAGGAGGCCUCCCCUACCCCAACAGAGAACGCUUUGUUAGCAGACCCGGUUGGAGGAGAGUUACAGCCUCAGGGUUGUGAGGGCCUCCACAGCCUCUCC